AGUUAACGCUGGCGGCGUGCCUAACACAUGCAAGUCGAACGGGUACUUUCGGGUACUAGUGGCGGACGGGUGAGUAACGCGUGGGAACGUGCCCUUUGGUUCGGAAUAGCCCUGGGAAACUGGGAGUAAUACCGGAUGAGCCCUACGGGGGAAAGAUUGAUCGCCAAAGGAUCGGCCCGCGUUGGAUUAGGUAGUUGGUGGGGUAAUGGCCUACCAAGCCGACGAUCCAUAGCUGGUUUGAGAGGAUGAUCAGCCACACUGGGACUGAGACACGGCCCAGACUCCUACGGGAGGCAG
RNAcentral lists this ribosomal RNA (297 nucleotides) under uncultured Pseudomonadota bacterium. Its description in RNAcentral is "uncultured proteobacterium partial 16S ribosomal RNA". It matches the Rfam family "Bacterial small subunit ribosomal RNA", at positions 29 to 351 of the family's 1533-position model. Lineage: Bacteria; Pseudomonadati; Pseudomonadota. The record is from RNAcentral.